CGCAGCAGCAGAGGCGGCCGCGUCGCCGGCCUUCGGGCCGGUGCCGAGGAAAGUCCGAGCUCCACAGGGCAGGGUGGUGGGUAACGCCCACCGGGAGUGAUCCCAGGGAAAGUGCCACAGAAAACAUACCGCCCACGUCCGCGCGCGUUCGCGGGCCGGUAAGGGUGAAAAGGUGGGGCCCCGAGUGGGGCUUAAUGUAAGAGCCCACCGCCCCGGCGGCGACGUCGGGGGCACGGUAAACCCCACCCGGAGCAAGGCCGAAUAGGGGAGGAGAGGUGGCCCGCCUCGUUUUCAACUCCCGGGUUGGCCGCUACUUGAGGUCGCCGGCAACGGUGGCCCUAGACGAAUGGUCGCCGCCCGUCUCAAAGAGGCGGGUAACAGGACUCGGCUUACGACCUGCUGCGGCUU
RNAcentral lists this RNase P RNA (408 nucleotides) under Candidatus Brocadiia bacterium. RNAcentral's name for it is "RNase P RNA component class A". It matches the Rfam family "Bacterial RNase P class A". From Rfam's summary of the family: Ribonuclease P (RNase P) is a ubiquitous endoribonuclease, found in archaea, bacteria and eukarya as well as chloroplasts and mitochondria. Its best characterised activity is the generation of mature 5'-ends of tRNAs by cleaving the 5'-leader elements of precursor-tRNAs. Cellular RNase Ps are ribonucleoproteins. Lineage: Bacteria; Pseudomonadati; Planctomycetota; Candidatus Brocadiia. The record is from RNAcentral.